RNAcentral lists this ribosomal RNA (563 nucleotides) under uncultured bacterium. RNAcentral's name for it is "bacterial SSU rRNA". It matches the Rfam family "Bacterial small subunit ribosomal RNA", at positions 337 to 916 of the family's 1533-position model. The record is from RNAcentral.
UCCUACGGGAGGCAGCAGUGGGGAAUAUUGCACAAUGGGCGAAAGCCUGUUGCAGCAACGCCGCGUGAGUGAUGACGGUCUUCGGAUUGUAAAGCUCUGUCUUUUGGGAUGAUAAUGACGGUACCAAAGGAGGAAGCCACGGCUAACUACGUGCCAGCAGCCGCGGUAAUACGUAGGUGGCAAGCGUUGUCCGGAUUUACUGGGCGUAAAGGAUGUGUAGGCGGAUACUUAAGUGAGAUGUGAAAGCCCCGGGCUCAACCUGGGGACUGCAUUUCAAACUGGGUGUCUAGAGUGCAGGAGAGGAAAGCGGAAUUCCUAGUGUAGCGGUGAAAUGCGUAGAGAUUAGGAAGAACAUCAGUGGCGAAGGCGGCUUUCUGGACUGUAACUGACGCUGAGGCAUGAAAGCGUGGGGAGCAAACAGGAUUAGAUACCCUGGUAGUCCACGCCGUAAACGAUGAGUACUAGGUGUAGGAGGUAUCGACUCCUUCUGUGCCGCAGUUAACACAAUAAGUACUCCGCCUGGGAAGUACGGUCGCAAGAUUAAAACUCAAAUGAAUUGACGG